GUUCUCUUUUUUGACGCCUGCGGCCUCUUGCUGAUGACGUUUUAUUUAGGGGACGAAAGUUAGCUAGAAUCGAUAGCUAGCUACAACGCUUCAAAAUGUAUAUAUUAAUGUUUUACGCAUUGUAGCUUUGGUUUAAAGUCCCAAUCCCGCGUAGACUUCAAGUAUCGUUUCGAUCAUUUGCAGUGAAAUUCACAGAGACAGCCAGGUAGAGCUGUGCAAAGAUGGAUGUCCAGUUGUCUAUCAGCUUCCUGAGGGACAGACUGGGUGGGGCCAUUGAGGAGGCAGUGCGUACAGCAGUGGAGUCUGUGCUGUGUGAGACUGUGCGUCUGUUAACCGGGCUCCAAGGGGACCAGCAGCAUGGACUUUCUUCAGUGACCCUGAGGGACCAGGACACCCUGGGACUGAAGCAGAGGUUAGAGGCCCCCAGCGGGGGUGACUGGAGGGUGCAGGCUGGGUCUUCAGGGGCAUUCUGUAACACAGGACCGAGGGGUAGUGGUGGGUGCAGCAACACUAAGAAUCCAAUGGGUCAGACUACUUGCUCAACCUCCCAAGCAUCACAAAGGACCACUGUGGAGCCCCAACCCCAAGAGGUGGUGGAGGACUGUGCUGGACUGCCUGACCCGUUUGACCUUGUGUCGGCUGGGCCAGUGAUGGUGGACUUUGAGGAGGGUCAGGGCAUGGGGAUCCCAGAGGAGUGGGAGCUGAUGAACAGAGUGUACAAGACAGAGCACAAUGAAGACAUGGCCCUUAUUGACGGGGGCGGUAGCACUCAAUUUGCAGAUGACCACAGGCUGCAUGAAGGAGACCAGAGGACUGUGGCUGUGCCCCUGGAAGGAGAGAUGGCUGCCAAGCCCCAGGACACAUUGCACCCCUGUUUCAGCCCAGCCAACAUCAAAACAGAGCGACCUGAGAUAGAGAGAUGCUGCAUGGCUGAGGAGGCCCUUGCUCUGCCUCUGCCUCAUCCUGCCAAUAGUGGUGUGGAGGCCGGUGACUUUGGGCAGGAGCAGGUGGAGGCUGGUCCACAGGACUUUGUAGGUCGCCUGCGCCUGUGGCUGGAGCAGCUAUGUCCUGAGGUGGUCCGGGAGUACGAGAGGGAGGGCUGUCUGUGUGAGCUGUCCCGCAGGAAGCUUAUCAAGUUCUCUGUGUCCUUCAUCGUGGAGGAGUUUGGAUUCUACCCUACCUCUGCUCAGAAGACCAUGCUGGCAGAGCACAUAGUGGAGCUCUUCCCAGGACUCAGGCUCUGUGCACCCUCUGCUGGCAUCAAUGGCAUAGAACACUUGUACGACCCUUUGUCCCGUACGGGUUACAUUGAGACGCGCCUGCGCAACUCUCGACGCACCCUUGAAGACCACAAGAAGAAGUAUGUGCUGAAGAGGCGUCGGCCAGAGCCAGGCCUAGCGGACCCUCCUGGACCUAGAUCGGGGCCUGGGCUCCUGGAGAGACAGUCCAGCGAGGAGACCCAGAGGUGGAUGGAGCUGAUGAAGAGAACCAGGCCCCUGACCAGGAACCUGCCUGCCAUCCACAGUGCUAUGGACCUCACAUUCAACGCACGCAGGAGAUGGAUCAGCAACACACGGCCUAGUAUGAGGGCUGUGCUGGCUGAGUACCCACGUUUUCUUGACGUUCCCGCCACGAUUGACCUGGAGUUUGAGAGGAUGUUCCCAGGUAAAGGCCACUCCUUCCUGGCCCAGUGGUCGUCGUUCGUGUUGCCCAGGGUGUACCAGAUUGCAGAGUGUGAAAAACACCCGGACAUCUCUGCACUUCUCCAACUGGCUGCCACACAGCAAGGAGACUCCUACACCCUGACUAUGCUGAAGGUCCUGAUCUAUGUACUAACAUCAACAAACACCAGUAGAGCCUCCUUACCCUCCAGGAGCAGUGUCAGGCAGGUCAUUCGGUAUCUGGUGGACAUUGUACCGAUAGACACCAUGGUGUCCUCCUUAUUCUGUGACCGUACCUCCUUGGAGGGCCCAGAGUCUGUGUCCCACGCUCAGCCCUACAUAUUGAGCGUGGGGCCCCUGGAGGCCCCUGGCCGGCAGCUUUGUAUCGUGUUCCCUGUUGAUAGGAUUGCAAUCCCCCUGCCUCAGGAGGGCCUGAGCAAUGCACUGGACAAGCUUUUCAAGCUUCUGCGUGUGUUUGAACUGGGGUACCCAGAUCAGCUAGCCUCCCUGUAUGGCUUCCUUGAGCACCUGUAUGGGCUGGAGAUGACCCCACAAGAUAACCAUGACUCCCCCAGUGGCAAGGGGUCAAAAGUGCUUGAACUUUUAUCACGGCUCCACAUGCCCUCCUGACAGAAGGCAUAGGUCUACACAAGAAUUGAACUCGCCCCACAGACUUACCUUUUAUUUUUUUGAUUGAUAUUUUAUUAUAGCCAUCCUUUACUAUGUUCUGGAUUUGCCCCAAAAUUAAAGUAUGUCGGACUGAACUGAACACUGGUGUUAUACCUUCAUUAUACCGUACCAGUCAAAAGUUUGGACACACCUAAUCAUUCAAGGGUUUUUCUUUAUUUUUACUAUUUUCUACAUUGGAUGUAUUCACUAUUAUUCUACAAACUAUGAAAUAACACGUAUGGCAUCAUGUAAUAAGGAAUUUCUUUCCUUAAUGCAUUUGAGCCAAUCAGUUGUGUUGUAGGGGUGGUAUACAGAAGAUAUACCUACUUGGUAAAAUACAAAGUCCAUAUUAUGGCAAGAAUAGCUCAAAUAAGCAAAGAGUUAGCAAAAAGAGAGUCCAUCAUUACUUUAAGACAUGAAGGUAGGUAAAUCUGGAAAAUGUAAAAAAAACGUUUAAAAUUACUUCAAGUGCAGUCACUAAAACCAUUAAGCGCUAUGAUGAAACUGGUUCUCAUGAGGACCGCCACAGGAAAGGAAGACCCAGAGUUACCUCUGCUGCAGAGGAUAAGUUCAUUAGAGUUACCAGCCUCAGAAAUUGCGGCCCAAAUAAAUGCUUCACAGAGUUCAAGUAACAGACAUCUCAACAUCAACUGUUCAGGGGAGACUGCGUGAAUCAGGCCUUCAUGGUCAAAUUGCUGCAAAUAAACCAGUACUAAAGGACACCAAUAAGGAGAAGAGACUUGCUUGUGCAAAGAAACACGAGCAAUGGACAUUAGACCGGUGGAAUUCUGUCCUUUGGUCUGAUGAGUCCGAAGUUGAGAUUUUUGGUUCCAACCGCCGUGUCUUUGUGAGACGCAGAGUAGGUGAACAGAUGAUCUUUGCAUGUGUGGUUCCCACCGUGAAACAUGGAGGUGGUGUGGUGGUGCUUUGCUGGUGACACUGUCAGUGCUUUAUUUAGAAUUCAAGGCACACUUAACCAGCAUGGCUACCACAGCAUUCUGCAGCGAUACAAGGGCUAUUUGACCAAGAAGGAGAGUGAUGUAGUGCUGCAUCAAAUGACCUGGCCUCCACAAUCACCGACCUCAACUCAAUUGAGAUGGUUUGGGAUGAGUUGGACCGCAGAGUGAAGAAAAAGCAGCCAACAAGUGCUCAGCAUAUGUGGGAACUCCUUCAAGACUGUUGGAAAAUCUUUCCUCAUGAAGCUGGUUGAGAGAAUGCCAAGAGUGUGCAAAGCUGUCGAGGCAAAGGGUGGCUACUUUGAAGAAUAUAAAAUAAACUUCCCUGUGGCUCAGUUGGUAGAGCAUGGUGUGUGCAACGCCAGGGUUGUGGGUUCGAUUCCCACGGGGGGCCAGUACCAAAAAAAAUAUAUUUUUUAAAUGCAUGAAAUAAAAUGUAUGCAUUCACUACUGUAAGUUGCUCUGGAUAAGAGCGUCUGCUAAAUAACUAAAAUGUAAAUGUUAACAAAUCCAAAAUUAUUUUAGCCUCUAUGGGCUAGGUGGGACGCUUGCGUCCCACCUACUCAACAGCCACUUUAAGCCUGUGGCGCGAUUUUCAAAACCUUAAAUCCGAUUACUUCAAUUUCUCAAACAUAUGACUAUUUUACAGCUAUUUAAAGACAAGACUCUCGUUAAUCUAACCACACUGUCCGAUUUCAAAAAGGCUUUACAACGAAAGCAAAACAUUAGAUUAUGUCAGCAGAGUACCAAGCCAGAAAUAAUCAGACACCCAUUUUUCAAGCCAGCAUAUAAUGUCACCAAAACCCAGAAGACAGCUAAAUGCAGCACUCACCUUUGAUGAUCUUC
This 4132-nucleotide long non-coding RNA is filed under the name Salmo salar (Atlantic salmon). Its description in RNAcentral is "lncRNA (ENSSSAG00000086963.1)". The stretch from base 3726 to 3779 matches the Rfam family "UnaL2 LINE 3' element". The record is from RNAcentral. Lineage: Eukaryota; Metazoa; Chordata; Actinopteri; Salmoniformes; Salmonidae.